Molecule: ribosomal RNA, 435 nt
Filed under: uncultured bacterium
Lineage: Bacteria
Description: partial 16S ribosomal RNA
Rfam family: Bacterial small subunit ribosomal RNA
Source: RNAcentral
AGCGAACGCUGGCGGCAGGCCUAACACAUGCAAGUCGAACGAACCUUUCGGGGUUAGUGGCGGACGGGUGAGUAACACGUGGGAACGUGCCUUUAGGUUCGGAAUAACUCAGGGAAACUUGUGCUAAUACCGAAUGUGCCCUUCGGGGGAAAGAUUUAUCGCCUUUAGAGCGGCCCGCGUCUGAUUAGCUAGUUGGUUGAGGUAAUGGCUCACCAAGGCGACGAUCAGUAGCUGGUCUGAGAGGAUGAUCAGCCACAUUGGGACUGAGACACGGCCCAAACUCCUACGGGAGGCAGCAGUGGGGAAUCUUGCGCAAUGGGCGAAAGCCUGACGCAGCCAUGCCGCGUGAAUGAUGAAGGUCUUAGGAUUGUAAAAUUCUUUCACCGGGGACGAUAAUGACGGUACCCGGAGAAGAAGCCCCCGGCUAACUUCGUG